CGUUUCUUAAUAUUGUUACUUUUCCAUGCUGUGUCUGAGGAACCUUUUCAAUACGGUCCGGAUUGCUAGCUCCCGUUCAUAGUUUUGCUACAGAUGAUACACGAGGAAUCUUUUUAUGGCGGUUCUUCCUUCUAAUGACCGGCAUAUCUAUGAUUCUUUUCUCCCAGAUGAAGCAGCAGGCAUCGGUCCGUAGAACCUAUAAAAAGGAGAUGGUUGUGGCGCGAAGUACUCUUGUGCACCUACGUCAUUCGGCUCGCGCGCAAGCCCGCCCCCUUAUGUUAUGGAAGAAUUGAGCUUAUUGCUGGGCUGGUUAUUCAGAGCCAGCAAUUGGCUGUCGGAUUUCGUCCCGCAACUAGAAGAAGAUCGCUUCGGGGUCACUGUGGUGUGGCUGAAUGUAGAGCAGUCCGCCCUUACAGCCUUUGAUCAGUAAAUUAUUUAUAACUUCGGAAGAUGGUCAAGGUAGCUUGCUUCCAAGCCACUGCACUAGAUGGGCAUGUUGGUUCAAAUAUACCCUUCAUUAUAUUUUGGGUUCAAAUAUAUCCAUGGCGUAAUAGUACUAUUAGUUCAAAUAUAUCCUUCUUCUGUUAAGUUUGUCCAAGGCGAAUAUUGUCCAAUCCUACGGCACUGAUAUUCGAUGAGGUGGAUAUCACAUGGCAUGUCACCUCAGCGCCACUAAUCCAUAUACAAAAGAUUAAAAUUUGAAGUACAAUAUUUUUUAUGGUAGUGUAAUGGUGAAAAUAGUGGUGGAGCGAAAGAAAAUUUUAGUGGUGGAACAAAAAUAGAAGGGAGGGAUAAAAUAGAUUACGGGCGCUGAAAUGACAAGCCAUGUAGCAUACACAUCAUCAAAUAUAAGUGUUACAUAUGAUUGGAUGUCGACUUAGGACAAACGUAGCGGAAAAGGAAUAUAUUUAAACUAGCAAUAUAAUGAUAGGAGUACAUAUGAGCACAAAAUAUAACAAAGAAUAUAUUUAAACUUUUUUAAAUAAUGCAAAAAUAUAUUUGACCCUUUCCGUUUGUACCAUUUGCCUUCACACUAACUUAGAAAUUAGAAAGCAGGUUCUUUUUCAAAGAAAGCACGAUUUUCACAUCAUAGGCUCGUAUAGGUGGCUUUAUUUAAUUUGUAGCUUUCUUCUCAUCGUUCAGUUCUUAUUUAUCUUUUUUGUCAUCCUUUCUAAACUUUAGGACAACACAUUGAAUAAAAGGUUAAAAUAAUAAUUGGUCUAGUUAAUUUUUAGAUUGAUCAUUUAAAAAUAAUUAACAUUUAUUAAUUUAUUAAAAGAUAGCUAUUAUUUUGUUGUACUCUUUUCGGUCCAAAAUAAGUAAUUUUUGGAUAUUUUCACAUAGAUUAAGAAAUUCACCUUUUAGCAUUAAUUAGCAAUAAAAAUUAUUAUAUUAACUUUUAUUAUCUCACAUAAACACUCAUAACACAUAUUUCAAUAUUAUUUACUCCAAGAACAAUGUAGGAGAAAAAUGAUUAAUGCACUCUUGAAAUUUGAAAAAAUUAUUUAUUUUAGACCACAAGAAAAAGGCAAAAAAAAUCAUUAUUUUGGAUCGUAGGGAGUAAUAGUUAUCGUUCCAAUAUAAUAUAUUGGAGUUUGGUACAUUUGUGUACGAACUUCCAACAUAUUAUGCUGGACUGGUAUACUUUGUUGGAUCCAGUAUAACAUACUAGAGACUGGAGCAUCGAUGCUCCAAACUCUAAUAUAUUAUGCUAGACGGUGUAUUAUACUGGAACUCCAGUAUAUUAGACUGGAGUUCUAGUAUAAUAUAUUGUAACUUCAGUAUAUUAUACAGGAGUAUUUUUCUGGAUUUGGAAUAGUAAUUUCAUUCAGAUUUAUUUUUAUAUGAAAAGUGGCUAAAUUUCAAUUACUUUUGAAACUGUCACUAUUAUUGAAUGACCAAAUCUGGUUAUUUUUGAAUUUCUCCCGAACAAAAGAGAUAAUUUUAUGCACUAAUACUAUAAAUGGCUUUUUACAUGAUCAGAUUAAAUUUCUUAUAAGUUACAAUAACAUGUACAGUAACUUUUUAUUGGAAUCUUUAUACAAAUAGACGGUUGAAUUUAUUGUUUAAUUUAUCUAGUCGAUAUAUAUAAAUUAUACGUUAAUUAUAUACUAGUAAUAGAACUCGCGUAAUGCACGGAUAAAUUAUUUCAAAUUAUAAUGUAGAUUGUUUGAAUUAUGUGCAAAUAGUUUUAAAAUAUAAACCUUACAGAUAAAAAUUAUAUAACAUGAGAAUUUAAUUAUGAAGCGGGAUAUGAAAUUAUUGUUUAUAUUAAUGUUUUACCUAUAAGUAUCCUCACAUUACCACUAUUUCAUUUUAUACAUUCUCUUUCCUAAUAUAUAUUUUAAUUAUUUUUUAUAUUAAUGUUUUACCUAUAAUCAAAAUAAUAUCAUAUUAAUUGUAACUUUUAAUUAGUCUAAUAUAUUAAUACAUAAUUUAUUUGAUUAUCAUAUUCCAAAUAUAUUGAGUUCUCUUAUAAUUCAUUUUUUAUUAGAUGCAGUUAAAUUUUCUUUCCUUUUUAGCUCUAACAUACAAUUUAAUUUUUAAGUUUAUUUAAUCAUAGAAUUUUUUUUAAAUUGUUUGAUUAAAUUAUUUCUAAAUAUUGUAGUAACAUUUUACUCUCAUUUUAGUUCUUUAAUUAAUAUUUUCAAAAACAACAAAAUUCUCAUCUCAAAUUCAAAUAAUUCUUAUCAUUCUAUUUUCUAAAUUGGACAGCAUUUUCCAAAAAUUAUGCUAUGCAUUCAAACUCAAAUUAAUUGCAAUCGAUUAAGAUAUUAAUUAUAAAAAUUAUUUUCUUAAUAAUUUGAACAUAUUAUAUAAAAAUUGUAGUAAUAUUUUCACUGUCAUUUUAUUUCUUUAGAUAAAUUUCUUUCAUAUUUAGUUUUAAGAUACAAAUUUAUUUUUUGUAAAAUUGCCUAUAUUAGAAAUUUAUUUUGUAAAUUAAAAUUUUUUAUUUUUAUUUUUUCAUAAAUAAGACUUCAAUUCUGUAGUAUUAUCCAUAAUUUGAGCAUUCGCAUCAUAGUUUUAAGAGCAUUCUAGUCUCAAAUUUAAAUAUUCUUUUCUUUUCAUUUCUAAUAAUUUAAAAUAAUUUUGCUAUUUUUUAAUCUAAUAUAUAGUCUUAUUAAAUUUUAUCUGGCUUUUCAUUUAAAAUUUUCAUUUAAAUUAUUUAAUAUUUAAUAUUAUUUUUAAGUAUUCUAAAAUAUUUAUUUUAUUUUAUUUCUAAACUCAUGAUUUAUAAAUAUCCUUACAUUAUCUCUUAUUUAUUUUUAUUAUUCAAUAUUUUAGUUGUUGAUUUUACUAUUAGACUUGAGUUAUGAGGAUUUAUAUUAUGACUUUUCUUAUUAUAAUCUAUUAAAGUUUCUCAUCCCAAAAUUAAAUAAGUUUUACUCUUUUUCAUAUGAUAAACAAUCUGAAUUUUUAUUUCUUUCUCUUUUUAUUAUUUAAGUUUGAUUUUUAUAUUAUUCUAUACCUAAUAUUAUUUCAUUGUCAUGUGAAUUUUUAUUAGUCUGUUUGAAUUUAAUAUAAUAUAUAUAAAAAGUUAAAAAACUUUCUCAUCUCAAAUUCAAAUAAUUUUUAUCAUCUUAAUUGGACCAUAUUUUUAAAAAUUCUGUUAUGCUUUCAAACUUAAACUAAUUGAACUCAAUUCAAAUAUUAAUCAUAGAAAACCAAUUUCUUAAUUGUUUGAAAACAUUAUAUCUAAAUAUUAUUGUAAUAUUUACAUGUAAAAUAUUUUUUUGCACGAUUUAUCAAUAUUAAUAUGAAUUUAUUAUUCUUGUUAUUAACAUAUCUUUUACUGGUUAUUUAUUUUUUUCUCUUACCUUAUAAAUAAUCUAUAUACUUUGUGCAAGUUCUAUUCUGCUGCUUGAAUUUAUUUAAUUUUUAAACUCAAUAAAUAUUGACUACCUUAAGUAAAUUAUUGUUUUGUAUUAGGUUAUCUCAAUUUACCUCUCUAUAUAUUUUUAUUUUUUUCUAUUAUAGUUUUUAAUAAAUUAUCCAUAUUUCUAGCUAAUAUAGAAGAAAAUCUAUGAGUGGAUCAAUAUAUAGAUACAAAUAUACAUAUAAAUUAAAAUAUCGCUAUUUAAAUUAGAAUUAUUUAAGAUCUAUUUAGAUUAUGCGUAAAAUUCAUUAAACUACUUCCAUUAAUUAUUUUCUAUAUAUAAUUUCUAAUUAUUAAUAUUGUCCUAAAAUUGGCAAGUGACUUUAUUUUAACUUGCCACUUGACUUAAUCACAUUAUAAACUACUCUUCUUUUAAUAUAAUAUAGAUGAUUAUAUGUAGUGGAAAAUGUAUAUUGAUUGUUAUAGGGGCUCAAGCACUCAUUACUUUUAGAGUCUUGAACUAAGUAUUAUUUAUAUAAAAAAGCUAGUAAUUCUUACAAAUAUAUUACUUGAUCACCCGGUUUUAAUAUUAAUUUUCAGAUAAAUAAUAGUUCAACAUCCAUGAUUAAAAAUUCUAGAUCCAUCACUAAUUAUACGCAUAUUAUGUAGAAAUUCAUACACAUACACAGAGCGGAUAUUGAACAAGGAAUAUAUGUUCAGCCAUAGUUGUUCAAGUGUUGUAAGGAAUCACCUUUGAAACCUUGAACAGAAAACCUAUGGAACCUUCUAGCAUGUUCCUAUCAUUAGAUGACAGACUGAUGGAAUCACAUGCUUAUUUAUAGGUGGAGUCACAUGCGUAUUAAUAUGUAGGUUGGGGACUCUUAGACAAAUACUUUAGCCCUAAGGACUUCUCCAUAAAGUAUAAUUGCCGUCGAGAUUUCUAUAAUAAAAAUUACUAUUUUUUUGCAUCAAAGAAAUUACCAUAUAUGCAUAACUACAAAACAUUAUUUGAUAUAUUAUUUCUUUGAGAGACAACGUAAAUAAUUUAUUACCUUAUAUGUUGGCCACACUAGAAGUCUCUAGAAGAAACGAUGAAUUUGUAACAUAUUUAUACAUGAUUAUACAUAUAUUAUAUAUUUAUCGACUAUUUUUAAUUUAAAUUGUUGGAUAAGCGACUAUUUAAGUUAAUUCUUCUUUCUUUAAACCACACCUUAUAUAAACCUGAAAUUAUAAAACUUUUUUUAUAUAUGCUCCUUUCGCAAGUAAGUUGGUGUCAUCAUUAGCUUUUGAUAGCCAAAUUACCCUAACUUUUGAUGUGAAAAAAGGAUAGUUUGAAUAUUCAAUUUUUUUAGUACACUUUCUUAUGAUCCAAUAAUUGCAUCGUCCAGAUAGAUUUCACCUCAAGGCUCUUUUUUGACAUAUCUUUUAGCAAAUGUCGUUGCUCAAAAGAUUCAACUAGAGAAAAAGCAAGAAAAAAAGUACAUUGAUUUACGUUGAACUGAUUUUGUUUAUUUUUUCAUUUACCCAUAGUAUCUAGUUUCUUUCCAAUUGUAUUGUUGGACCAUACCAAAUCUUUACUUAAAUUCAAUGGCCAACUGACCAGUUUUACUGGAUAUAUUUUCAGUUAAUUUCAAACUGUUGCUGUCUUUUGAUUUGUAGUGUGUAAUAAUAUUGGGAGAAAUUCAAAAAUAGCACAAUUUACAAAUGGUCACUUAAAAACAGUCAUAAUUUCAAAAGUAUUCAAAAUUUAGCCAUUUUUCAUGUAAAGAUAAAUUUGAACGAAAACACUCUUUAAAAUCCGGCAAAAUACUUCAGCAUAAUAUACUGGAGUUUCACUAUUCCAGUCUAAUAUACUGGAGUCUUAGUAUAAUAUAUCGGUUCUGCAUAACAUUACUGGAGAUUGGAGCAGCAGUGCUCUAUUCUCAAUUAUAUUAUACUAGAGCCAGCAAAAUAUACCGGUCCAACAUAAUAUGCUAGAAGUUUAUACGCAGGUGCACCGAACUCCAGUAUGUUAUGCUGGACCGGUCUCGGUUUUUGAAUACAGAGGUUCACCGAACUCUAAUAAUAAUUAUUUUUUAAUGAUCUGGCAAAUGCUGACUAUUUUUGAAUGAUCAAUCCAAAAUCUGGAUAGUCCGUGCUAUUUUUACAAUAAUGUUACUUGAAAAAAGAUAAAGGAAAUGAUGCCCCCUAUGUAUAUAAUAAAAACAAAGGAAGGGAGAAAAUGUUCGACAGUGUAAUAUGUUAUUCUAGGCCCACAUUCACUUUUUUAACGUUGUGUUCAGAUUCGAGUGAUUUAUUUUGCUUUCCAAAAGUCAUUUUUAUUAAGUCAUCAUGAAUUACUACUAUUUAUCAUAGAGAUGUUAUGGGUAACAACUUCAUAAGUAUAAUUUAAUCUUAUAGCCGUAGCAUAGACGUAUGUAGAUGUGGCAAAUGAGUGUUUUGGAUCAAAUUUAAACACGUUAAAAUGGAUCACAUUGAUAAGUGGGUCGUAAUUUUGCUCAAAAUUUACUUGAAUCAAAAUAGUUGGGUCAGCAUAAGUCAAUUACCGAGUCUUAUUUUCAUCCAAAUGACGAUAUGUAAUUAGAAAUAACGAGUCAUAACUCAACCUAUUCAGUUAGUUGAAGAGUAGAAAAAAAAAAAGAAGAUAGAUCCUAUUUCGAUACAAAUGAAAACAAAGGGAAUUAUUUCAUGGUCUCUUCUUCUUCAACAAUAUAUAUAAUUUGUAGAUGAGAUAUUUAUUCAAAAAUUUCCUUCAAUAUUUUUUAGUUAGGCAAGGUAUAAAUUUGUAAAUUAAAGAAUAUUCCACCAGUACAUAUUCUGGAGACCAAGUAUCUGAUUGCCUUUAAAGUUGAAGGAUUCAUUCAAACAAACAACUCCUUUCUUUUCUAGCAUCUGCUUAUUACAAAACUGAUUUUCUUUUUCUUCUAAAAUUUGUAGGGCCUAUCAUUAAUUACUUUCGGAUAUAUUUGCUAGCGAAUAUUUUCCUGAAUACUUUUUUUUUUGUUAAAUUCCAUCAUUUGCUCCAUGUUUCUUUUCUGAUUCGUAUAUAUAUAUAUAUAUACAACUUUGUACACUCAUAUAUACACACACAACUUUGUUACAACCAACGGUUGCAGUACGACGGAUCAGAGAAGGACCUAGGAUUUGAAGAUCGAGAGUGCACUUUUGGAUUCAACCAAUAUAUAUUUUGUAUAUAAAAUGCCCACUACUAAUAUAUUAUUAUUAUUUUCUAAAAACAUAAAUACGUAUAUAUGAAAUUUUUGCUAAAUUUUACAGGUAUUGGUGAUCGUAUAGUAUACAUAGAUCCGCCUCUGCGACAGAUAACAUCUCUUAUCUUUAAUAAGAUGUCGCUGCAGGUUUAAAUCACGGGAAUAGAAUAAAAUUAGUAGGGAAUAUUUUUCUUUAAUAAAUCUUACACGACGUGAUCUAAAUCAGUCAGGCUUCAGACUAAUAUAGAAACGGAGUGUUUAAGAAAAAACUUGUCAUCUCUUUGAACUUUCCUCGAAGUUGGGUAAGAUGUUCUUUUCUGGAUAAAAUUGACGCGAACGACAAAUGAUUUGAUGAGAAGGUGCACAAUUAAUAAUGCUCAUUUUUGUAUCUCUCUUGAUUGAUAUAUAUAUAUAUAUAUAUACCCUCGUGAUCACGUAACUGCAUUUUAUAUAUAUAUAUAUAUAUAUAUAUAUAAGAAAAAGGAAAAAUUAUUUUUAGGGGCCAAAAAAAUAAAUUGAGUCAAUAAACAUAAUGAUUUGGAUUUUGCCCAAGUUAUGAAAAUGCCUAUUAUGAAAAACUAGCUAGCUACAAAUUGCUCAAACUAAGUAGAGAAACAGUAUACUGGUUGGGGUACCUACACAUUGGAUAGUGCAAUAAGUUAGGUUAUACUAAAGUAACUAAAUUUUAUUUAUUAUAACAGUAAAGUCAUAAAACGUUACAUAUUAUUAUAGUUAGAAACGGAGAUAGAAUUUUAAGUUUAUGGGCUUUUAAAAUUUUAAAUUAAUAAUUUAUACAUAUGCAAUAGAUUCUUUGAGAAAAAUACAAUGUUUGAACCAAAGCUACUGGAUUCGGUCAAACCCCUUCUGAUACCAGUGGUGAAAUCAAGAAUCUUUCCAAAGGUGUUCAAACUUGAAAGAGUGAAAAAAUUAUCCGACAAAGGGUGUUCCGUAUAUGUUAUAUAUCUCUAAAAUCUAAUAUUUUGUUUACAUACACAAUGUAAUUUUUCAAUGAAAAUGGCACAUGUCUGAUACUCUAGCUCUGCCCCUGAUUAUCGUAAAUCCACCUUGAUGAUAGAUUAAAAGAAAGUAAUUUUACUAUAAUCAAUAAAGUCAAAUUAUUUCACUGUGAUUAAAAUAAUAUUGAGAUUUUACUAUCACAAUAAAUAAAGUUUAAUGACAACACGUGAAAAUAACUAUGCUUGGCAUGCGCUAAGAAAACAUUCCAAAUUGCUAUUAUUGGAGAUAAGAAAGAAAUGUAUAUGAAGUUAUUUCAUUGUCCAGCUUUCAGUAGAUAGUGAUAGGGAAAAAAGGAAGAGAUGAUUUAUGCCAAAAGUAAAUUAACUUUUGACUAACAUAUCCAAAGAACUAUCCAGAUACUGUUGAUCAUAAAGCUUUUAAAACAUUUUGUCAUUUUGAUACCAGAAAAAGUAAGGAACUCAACUUUACGUGUGGUUUUGUGUAGGUUUGAUGAGAACCUUGGUGUGCUAUAAUUUGUCAAUCUUUUAAAGUGAAAGAUGACGUGGCGUGAUACGUGGACUGGUCAAAUAGUUAAAGAGUAAUGAAUGAUUAAAAAGGUACGAAAGAUAAUAGGCACGGGGUGAAGAAAAUGAAACAGACACGAGAAAGGGUCUUAGAUAUGAGUCUCGUGUAUUCAAGUCAUUUAAUUUCAACGGAUAACAAGGGCACUGAAGAUGCGAAUAUGAUGACAAAAAGUAGUCUACAUUCAUUAUUAAAUACCUGAUACGUUAGUUAUAUAGUAUUUAAUAGCAAUGAUUAUGAAACGUCUCAUUAAAUGUUAUUUAUUAUAUAGAUCAAUACGUUACUCCUUGUCAACUAUAAAAGGAGGGAAUUUCAUCAUUUGUAUACACACAGAACAUUCUUGAUAUCAUAUUGAAAUAACAACUUCUUAUUGCUUUAUCUUUAUUCUCUGAAAGCCUUUUAUUUUGGUCUCUAGAUUAUCAGUAACCCGAUUUCUUCUNNNNNNNNNNNNNNNNNNNNNNNNNNNNNNNNNNNNNNNNNNNNNNNNNNNNNNNNNNNNNNNNNNNNNNNNNAGUAACCCGAUUUCUUCUCUCUAAAAUUCAAGCUUUGACCAAAUUACAUUUUUUGGUUAAACAAAUUGGUUCCGUUACCAGGAAUCUGAUAAUCCAUUCAUUCCAAAAUACCACUCAACUUGUUGCCAAUAUGUCAAACAACAAUGACAACAAUAACUAGGAAAAUCAGAUUCAUGAUGAUGAAUUCAACAAUGUUAACCCUCAAGCUUCUCCGCGUGAAUCUUGUGAAGGAACUCCGAAUGAUAUGGUUGAACAUGUAGACAGAGAAGCUGAAACAAGAGGUGAACCUUUAAAGAAAAUAAUUGCUCACGAAUUGAUAGAGCCUUGCAAGCAUUAGUUAGUCAAUUGCCUACUGUACCAGCAACGCCAAACAACAACCCAUUGGAAAACCCCCGCUCUAGUCUAGUUAAUUCUGGCAAUGGAGCAACUCCCAGUGACUCGCAAGAAGGAAAACCAGGUAAUACAUGUAAUUCUCAUCUUUUAAAAUUUGGUACUAACCUUGCAGAAACAACUCAAGGAGCAGAACGAGCAUAUUGAGCAAAUCCUUGGAAUUCCACCUGUGAUAAAAGAAGUGGAUGUGGAUAAAUACUCACAACAACCUUGGAAACCAAGUGAUGCUCCUCUACCAAUUCCAAAGAAAUUCAAAAUGCAUGACAUCACAAAAUAUGAUGGUACAACGGACCCUCGUGAUCACGUAACUGCAUUUACAACAGGAGUGAAAGAAAAUGUCUGACAUCCCAAAAUAUAAUUAUACAACAGACCACGUGACCACGUAACUUCAUUUACAACAGGAGUGAAAGGCAACGAUUUAACCAAACAAGAAAUUGAGUCAGUGUUGGUUAAAAAGUUUGGGGAGACGCUCACCAAGGGUGCAUUAACCUGGUAUUCUCUUUUACCUGUAAAUUCUAUAAAUUCUUUUGCUGAGCUUGUAGAUUUUUUAAAAAAAGCACACUCGGGAGCUCAGAAAUUUGAAAAAAGAAUGGAGGAUAUCUUCAAAAUCAAACAAGGGAGCUCUCAAUUGCUCAGAGAUUUCGUUGAUAUAUUCCAACGUGAAUAAAUAAUGUUACCCCGUGUACCAGAUAAUUGGGGAGCAAUAGCUUUUGCCAGUAAUUUGAACGACAAAAGUUCAGAUGCCACGAGAAGACUUAAAUAAAGCAUUCGUGAAUUUCCUGCAACUACUUGGAACGAUGUUUAUAACAGGUACAGUACGAAGCUCAGAAUUGAAGAAGAUACCGUAUCUCAACCUCAACGAGAAGAAAGGAGCGGGUCCAGAAGAUCUGAAGCCGAAAAAAGGUCAGGUAAGAACAGGUAUGAUCCAUUUAUGGGACCUGUAGGAAAAGACCCACGUUCUAGGCAACACAAUCAACAUUAUGAUCAAAGGUCAAAAGAUAGGGGAACCAGAUCUUCAUCCAGGUUCAAAGGCGAUCGAAACAACUAAGAGCCACGAGAUGAUGAUAGGAACUUAAUGGAAAUAUUUGUAGGUUAUAAUUUCAAUGUAACUAACUCCGAGCUCGUAGCUGUUCUAAGGAGUAUGGGAGAUAAGGUACGGUGGACAAAAGAGAUGCGGUCGAAUCCAAAUAGACGUAACCCAGACCAUUGGUGCGAAUUCACAACGAACAUGGACAUAAAACAUCAGAAUCUAGAUUUCUACAGAGUGGAGUAGAUCAUUUGUUGAAACAAGGAUAUCUCAUGGAACUGUUUAGUGAAUAGGGAAAGCAACCUUUAUGAAAAUAGGCAAGAGCCACCGAAACCACCUUCACCUAAGAGAAUAGUCAAUGUUAUCAGUGGAGGGGCAUAUAUAUACGGAGUAACUUACACGGCUUCAAAAAAAGUUUCCAAGAUGACGAUCACACACGGAAAGCGAGUACAGAAAACCUUAGAACAUGAGAGUAUAAGCUUCGAUGAUGCAGAUACGGAGGGCGUGACUGCACCUCAUAACGACGCUCUGGUAAUAUCUUUAAUUAUACAUGACACUGAUGUAAAAAGAGUUUGGAAGUUCUGUAAAUAUCAUUCUAAUAAGAGAGCUAAGGGAAAUGCAAGCUGAAAAUAAAAUGAUACCAAAGGCGCAUGCUUUGUCAGGCUUUGACAAUUCAAGUGUGGUAACAAAAGGUGAGGUGAUUCUGACGACUUAUGCUGCAGGUAUUAUUAAAGAAACUAAGUUUCAGGUAGUUGACAUGGAAAUGGCAUACAAUAUAAUUAUAGGGAGACCAUUGAUCCAUGAUAUGGAUGUUGUUCCAACAACCUUACAUCAAGUCAUUAAAUUUCCAUCACCGGGGGAAUAUGUCAAAUUCGAGGAGAUCAACAAAUAGCCAAGAGUAUCAACACAAUAACAGAUACGAGUACCGCGAGUAAAGAGAAAUAGUAAUUACUGGAAACAGUUGAAGGUAUCACCAACCAAACUUCAACUGAAAAAACGGAUUUAGAUUCGAGGCUCGAUGUAAUUCAAGAACCUGAUGAAAAUGAGAACAUCAAAAUGACAAUAGAGGAACUCGAGGAUGUGGUGUUAUUUGAACAAUGGCCAGAGAAGAAAGUUUACGUAGGAGUCAACCUAAAUCCCGAUAUGCGAGGUAUGUUAAUUGAAUUUUAAAAGCUAACGUGGAUUGUUUUGCCUGGUCCUAUGCUGAUAUGACAGGCAUUCCACCGGAUGUGAUGACUCACAAGUUUAAUGAAGACCCAUCUUUUACUCCAAUUAAGAAAAAGAAAAGAAAGCAGGGAUCUUUCAAAAAUCAAGUAAUCCAGGAUGAGCUCCAAAAGUUGUUGAAAAUCGGGUCAAUUUGUGAGGUAAAAUAUCCCGAUUGGUUAGCUAACACGGUGGUCGUACCUAAGAAGAAUGGUAAGUGGCUAGUUUGUGUAGAUUACGCUGAUCUAAAUAAAGCUUGCCUAAAAGAUUCUUUUUCUUUACCCCAUAUAGAUAAAUUGAUUGAUGCAACUGCAGGUCAUGAACUUUUAUUGAUCUAAACAAAGCUUGCCCAGAAGAUUCUUUUCCUUUACCCCAUACAGAUCAUUGAUUGAUGCAACUGCAGGUCAUGAACUUUUAAGUUUUUUAGAUGCAUACUCGGGGUAUAAUCAAAUUAAAAUGGACCCCAGUGAUGAAGAAAAACUUCCUUCAUCACAGACCGGGGGACUUACUGUUACAAAGUAAUGCCCUUCGAUCUAAAAAUUGCUGGAGCAACCUAUCAAAGGUUAGUUACCAAAAUGUUUCAAGAAUAUUUGGGAAAAACUAUGGAGGUAUAUAUAGACGAUAUGCUCGUCAAAACCCAGCAUUCUCAUGAGGUUAGUCACCAAAAUAUUUCAAGAAUAUUUGGGAAAAACUAUGGAGGUAUAUAUAGACGAUAUGCUCGUCAAACCCCAGCAUUCCCAUGACCAUAUUUUCCAUUUAACUAUUACCUUUGAAAUCUUGCGAAAAUUUAAUAUGAAACUCAAUCCUGAAAAAUGUGCAUUUGGAGUUGCUUUAGGUAAAUUUUUAGGUUUUCUUAUUUCUAACCGUGGUAUUGAGGUAAAUCUUUCCCAGAUUAAAGCAAUUGAAGAAAUACCUGAUGUCCUUACCAGUAAAAAGGAAGUUCAAAGAUUAACGGGAAGGAUAGCGACCUUUGGUAGAUUUAUUUCAAAAUCUUCAAAAAAAUGCUUCAAAAUUUUCUCUGCACUCAAAAAGCAAGAUCAUUUUGAGUGGAAUGAAGAUUGUCAACAAGCCUCGAGAGAUUUGAAAUUUUAUUUAUCAAAUCCUCCUUUACUAGCGAAACCUAAGGAAGGUGAGAAGUUACUAAUUUAUUUAGCAGUUUUAGAAAUGGCGGUAAGUGCAGCCUUAGUUCGUGAGGACCAAGGUAACCAAUCUCCAAUUUAUUAUGUGAGUAAAACAUUAUUAUAUGCAGAGACAAGGUAUCCACAACUAGAAAAAUUAGCAUUAUCUCUCAUCAUGGCAUCUAGAAAACUACNNNNNNNNNNNNNNNNNNNNNNNNNNNNNNNNNNNNNNNNNNNNNNNNNNNNNNNNNNNNNNNNNNNNNNNNNNNNNNNNNNNNNNNNNNNNNNNNNNNNNNNNNNNNNUUACUGAUUUCCCUUUACGAAGUAUCUUGCAUAAACAUGAACUAUCAGGGAGAUUAGCAAAAUGGGCUAUAGAACUAAGUGAAUACGAAAUAAUUUACUAACCCCGAACUGCUAUUAAAUAUCAAGUACUUGCCGAUUUUGUAGUUGAUUUUAGUCAAGGCAUGCGUUUAGAAGUAGAAAAAGAAUUACAAGUUUUUAAUGGUGCUAAUCCGGCGACUUGGCUAUUAUUUACUGGUAGUUCAUCUAAUGUAGAUGGGGCAGGUAUAGGAAUUGUUCUUAUACCACCUACAGGUGAAAUAAUUAAACAAGCUAUAAAAUGUCAUCCUGUAACUAAUAACAAAGUAAAGUAUGAAGUUGUGACUGCAGGUUUAUAGCUAGCAUUAGAACUGGGUAUCAUGCAAAUCGUAAUCAAAAGCAACUCACAGCGCGUAGUAAUUUGAAUGCUGGGGACAUACGUGGCUAGAGAAACUCGAAUGCAAGAGUAUCUCGCAAAGGUACGGGAAUUAAUAAGACAGUUCCAAACUUGAAAAGUGAUACCAAUUCCAAGAGAAGAAAAUUUGAAAGCGGAUGCUUUUGCCAAUCUCACAUCUGCAGCAGAAAUAGCGAAAGAUGCGAAUGCUUCAAUCAUACAUUUGUUCCACUCCGUUCUUGACCCUGAUAAANNNNNNNNNNNNNNNNNNNNNNNNNNNNNNNNNNNNNNNNNNNNNNNNNNNNNNNNNNNNNNNNNNNNNNNNNNNNNNNNNNNNNNNNNNNNNNNNNNNNNNNNNNNNNNNNNNNNNNNNNNNNNNNNNNNNNNNNNNNNNNNNNNNNNNNNNNNNNNNNNNNNNNNNNNNNNNNNNNCGGAAUCGUACCUGAAGACAAGGUGAAGGCUCAUGCACUAAGAAAGAAAGCUGCUCGUUAUUGCCUAUAUCAAGGAAAUCUUUACCAUAAAAUGUUUGGUGGACCAUUAGCCAGGUGUCUUGGGCCUUCUCAAACAGAAUAUGUGAUAAGAUAAGUACACGAAGGAAAUUGUGGGAACCAUGCAUGAGGCAGAUCACUUGUAAAGACAUUGAUUCCAGUAGGAUAUUACUGGCCUAAAAUGGAAGAAGAAGAGAAUGACUUCGUAUCUAAGUGUGACAAGUAUCAAAGGUAUGGGAAUAACAUGCAUAGACCAGCUGAUUUAUUACAUCCUGUCAUAGCUCCAAGGCCCUUCAUGAAAUGGCGAAUGGACAUCAAAGGACCAUUACCCCAAGCAAAAGGACAGACAAAGUUUCUACUCGUACUUACUGAUUAUUUCACUAAAUGGGUAGAAGCAGGAGCGUUUAAACANNNNNNNNNNNNNNNNNNNNNNNNNNNNNNNNNNNNNNNNNNNNNNNNNNNNNNNNNNNNNNNNNNNNNNNNNNNNNNNNNNNNNNNNNNNNNNNNNNNNUAAUUUGCCGCUUUGGUGUUCCAAAGGAGAUAGUGUGUGAUAAUGGACCACAAUUUAUAGGAGCUCAAGUCACAAAAUUCUUUCAAAGUUGGCAAAUAAAAAGAAUUACAUCGACACCGUACCAUCCAGUGGGUAAUGGGCAACCAGAGUCUACAAACAAAGUAAUUAUCAACAACCUAAAGAAAAGGUUACAAGAAUAAAAAGGCAAUUGGCCUGAAGUGUUACCAGCAGUAUUAUGGGCAUAUCGAAUGACGGUAAAAACAAGUACAGGAGAAACACCAUUUUCAAUGGUUUAUGGUGCGGAAGCUUUGAUACCAGUUGAGAUAGGUGAACCUAGUACACGACGUGUUCAAGCAGAGGAAAACCGAACAACGAAGAGUUACGAGUAAAUCUUGAUUUACUUGAAGGAAGAAAAGAAGCUGCAUUGAUAAGGAUGGCGGCUCAAAAGCAAGUAAUUGAGCGAUAUUACAAUAGGAAAGCACGCCUCAGGUUUUUUAAUGUUGGGGACUUCGUGUUAAAAAGGUUUUCCAAUCUACGAAGUCAGCUAUGUUAGAAAAUACGCUUAACGCUAGAGGGGGGUGAAUAGCGUUAUAAUAAAAAACAGCGUAAACUUGCGGAAUUUAAAAAUAGCAGGAAUAAAAUUGGGGACUUCGUGUUGAAACAAGUUUUCCAAUCUACAAAGUCAGCUAAUACAGGAAAGCUAAGUCCAAAGUGGGACGGACCUUAUCGAAUUCGAGAAAUUGCAGGGAAAUGAACAUACGAGCUAGAGACAAUAAAUGGCAAGGUUUUACCCUACAUUGGAAUGUUGUUCAUUUAAAGAGGUAUUAAUUUUAGGGAAGUACCCUCAAUCAGGUAUCUCCAUGUUAAAUUUUUUCCUUUGAAUUGUUAAAAUUAUACUAACGAUUUUAGAUGCUAGGAAAAAACCCUAACUCGUGCCAAAUGAUGAGUCACGGCCNNNNNNNNNNNNNNNNNUUAGAUGCUAGGCAAAAACCCUAUCUCGUGCCAAAUGAUGAGUUACGGCCUGCACGACAAAUUGGAAUACUAUUAAAUUCCUAGGCCAGGGUUACGUUAGUUUGAUGGAAAUACACACGGGUUAGGCAGUCUUCAUCUAUAAUCGCACCUUUGAGUCCCGUAUAUUUUUAUGUUUCAGGAAGAGGACCAAAAAUUGGGAGCAAAUACACAAGUGAUAGAGGCUUCAUACUUCACCACUCAAACACUUGGGGGACUAUACUAUGUAUACACGAGCAUGUGCAGAAGAAUGAAUACGAGUGCAGAAAACAAAUACGAGUGAGGCAAGAUAGCAAGAAGUCAAAUGUCAAGCAAAAAUCACGAAGCAAAAGACAAAAGCACUAAUCAUAAUGUUCUUUCCCAUGAGAACAAUGGAGUCACCUCUCAAACCAUUCCUAAUAUAAAAAUAUAGGGUCGUGACUAUGUAUCAAAAACUGGUUAUGAAAAACCUUGUAUUUUUUAUAAAUCUGUUAAAAGAAAACAGUUGCGAGAAAGUUGUAGAUGUACUUCAAUACAUGUANNNNNNNNNNNNNNNNNNNNNNNNNNNNNNNNNNNNNNNNNNNNNNNNNNNNNNNNNNNNNNNNNNNNNNNNNNNNNNNNNNNNNNNNNNNNNNNNNNNNNNNNNNNNNNNNNNNNNNNNNNNNNNNNNNNNNNNNNNNNNNNNNNNNNUACGUCUUCUUCAUUAAGUGUCGAUAAAACGAAACAUGUAUGUUCCUAUUUCUUUCAUCGUAUGAUAACACCAUUAUGAAGUUGAUACGUCUUCUUCAUUAAGUGUCGAUAAAUAAAAGGGCCCUCUUUUAUAUUCCUCAUGAUGAUACACAUGAAAUGAAUUAUGAAAGCAUUUUCUGAAAAGGAUAAAGAUGCUAACUUAUUCUCUACGUCCUAAUAAGAAAAAUAGGCAAGAAUAGGGUAAACAGAAAAUUGUUCUGCAAAGUCUAUAACAAAGUGAAUAAACAAGGAUGAAACAAAGAAAUAUUAUAUAAACUAUUUAGCACAAAAAGCUAAGGGAAAAAACUUAGCUAUUACAAUACAAUUGUGUUUCGAAACAGAUACCCCAUUAUAGAAACUAAGGACUUUACUAAAAAAUUACAUCAUCAAAAAUAAACAAAAGAAGUAAGUUUAAACAUUUUCACUGGUCACUGAGGAACUUGAAACAUUAGAAGUCGCAACAUUAUUAGGCUCGGUAGAAACUUCUAAAGGAGCAGCAAUAGAAGCAGUCUCAGCUGAAGUUGAAGUAUCAACAUUCUCGAGAUAAGCAGUAGAGACGGGGAUUUUCGUUCCUAAAGACUGUGUUGUAGAUAAAUUACCCUCGGUCACCGAAAUUGUAACUUCAAAAACUUCAGCUGUUGAUUCUAAGUUCAAAGGCUCUUUAACCCCGGGAGUUCCAAUUGUUGGAGAAGAAAUGUCAAUUACCUGGUCAGGAGAAGGAAUUUCAAUAGGUUGCUCAUUCUUCUCAAUCAUGUCUAAUACUUUGGCUAAAUCAUAUUGCAAGUCAAAUUUUUCUUGUGAAGCCUCAAUCAAAGCAUCACGACGAGAUUUCAAGAAAGCCCAGUUCUCAAUCAUGUCUAUAACUUUGGCUAACUCAGGUUGCAAGUCAAAGUUUUCUUGUGAAGCGUCCAUCAAAGCAUCACGACGAGAUUUCAAGAAAGCCCAGUUAAUCUCAGAAUUGAAAUUUUCUGCUAAAGAAUUAUAAUCCUUCUCCAGGUUUUCAUAAUCCCUCCCCCACGUAGCAAGGGUGUUCUUCAUCGUUUCUUGCUCAACUAGGUGGGAGUCAAGGGAAGUCUGAAGAUUGACACAUGAACUCUCCAACACACGAACCUUAUCUAAAGAAAUCCUCAAAUCAACCCGAGUCUGGUUCAAAGUUUGCACUAAUUCCUUGGCAUACUCUUCUUUUUUCUCCAUUAGUGCUUUGAGUUCUUUGAUUUUUCAUUAGCCUUUGACAAAGAAUCUUUCAAAAUCUCUUUAUCCUUUUUUUACUUGGCUCGUGGAAGCCGUGGCAAUCCCUAACUCCGAGGAUAAAGCUCGAUUUUGCUGUUCAAGUUGAAAUUUAGAUACUGCAACUCUUUAAUGCUCCCUAAAGCACCUUCGAAUUGUUCCUUCCAAUUUUGAGCCUCAAGCUGUGCUUCUUCAGAUAUUUUCUUAGCAUCAACAGCAGCCUUAGCAGACUCACGUGCAGUUUUCUCCAAAAUAGGGAUCCUCCCCAUUAAUAUAUUCUUUUAGCAUCAGCAACAGCGUUAGCGGACUCACAUGCCUUUUUCUCUAAGAUAUGGAUCCUCCCCAUCAACUCAGUUCCGAUCAAGUUUGCCUAUAAAAAUAAGGCAUAUAAAUAAGAACUUAAAGUCAAGGAAAAGUAAAUAAUCAAGGGUGAGGAAGUUACCUUCAGUGUUGAAUGAACUAUGUCAUUCAUCAAGGUAUAACAGUUGUGGCUCUGCAUCUUUGUUCUCUCCACAUCUCCAAUGAGAGGCCGAGCCAAACAUCAGCUUCACCAGUCUUCCUUAAUAGACUAUGAGUAGCAGGUACUUCAAGUGUAACCUUUCUCAUAGCCAUACCUCUGUUAUUCGGGCCAGAUUCAGAAUGAGAAAUAGAGGAAGAAAGAAUAGUGGAAGGAGAAGUAGUAGAAGAGGUGAAAACAAUAUGAGCGGCAGAAACCAAAGCAGAAGCUGAAGGAAAAGGCACGGGGGCUAAAACAUGAACGGGAGAAAAAGUUGAAGUAGCAGUGGAAGAUGUCAAAGGGAAUGAAAUAGGUAUGGAUGAAGGAGGAAUAGAAGAAGUAGGAGAGAUAGAAAUAGAAAUAGAUAAGGGAAUUUCAUUAAGAACGGGGCCAAGUUCCCCACUUUCAAAUCCACUCUCGAAGAGAUGGUGAACAAAUUCACUCGUGUCUCAAGGUGCGAGAUCUUCAUCGGAUUGGAGUAAAUCAUGCUCGGUAAUGGAAGUAACUACAGAAGAAGUAAUUACAGAAGAGAUAAGAGCAGGAGAAUCUUCAAUUUCUUCAUCCAUAACAACACGUCUCCUAGAUCUUGGUCUAGAUACCAAAGAGGUAUAUUCUUCUUCUUCGUUCUCAGUUUCCACUACCAUGGCUUUUCUUUUGGCUAAAAGUGUUUUAGCCUUGUCCAAGCCAAGGGAGGUGUUGGCAAUAGUGCGCAUAGCUAAAGCGAUAUCCGCUUCCAUCCCUUUUAUUCCAAAUCCUCAUAAAAAGAAAGGUUUGGAUUUAUUAUUUAAUAUUUGUACCUAUAAAACAUACACGAAAGGAGAUACAUACCGUGUGUUUUAACAAUCCACCAGUGUAAGGAAGAAAUAGACUUCCAAGUCCUAUCUUCCUUAGAAGCAACUUUCAAUAUUGAAUCUACCCGACCACGGAAGUUGGGAAUAGGUUCCACAUCCCUAUGGUUGCUACAAAUAAAUCAAAAAAGGGAUAAGUUUAAAGAUAAAAUCAAAAUCUUGGAAAAUAGAUACGGGAAAGGUAAGUAGAAAUUUACCUGCAAAAUUCCACUUCUCAGGGAAGGGAAUGUUUGCUUCUCCCAGCAAAUCCACUGUAUGAACAACAAUGUAACGAAGGUACCACCUUACGCCAUCUUACGUGCAAAAUUUCAUUUCUCAGGGAAGGGAAUGUUUGAUUCUCCCAGCAAAUCCACUGUACGAACAGCAAUGUAACGAAGGUACUACCCACGAUCUUUAUCGUCAUCAGCAUUUGCCAAAACUCUCUUACUCCUUGCAGUUAAGGUAAAAACCCCAUGGCGUAAUAAACUAGGGUGGUACAAAUGGAUAAGAUGGAAAAGGUAAAAUUGAUUUUUGCCUUAGAAGACAAGAAUCUUAAACAAGCUACAGCCCUCCAAACUAAAGGAUCAAUCUGAGCUAAGAAAAUAUUGAAAAAUCUACAAAAUUGAGGAUAACUGGAUCUAUGGCAGGUUUGAACCCCAAAGAUCUGAGCUAAGCAAAUAUUAAAAUAUCUACAAAAAUUGAGGAUAACUGGAUAUGGCCGGAUUGAACCCCAAAGUAAAGGGGUAGGUAUAAACAAAGGAAAACCAUUUCUAUAAGAUGAAAUUCUAUGGUUUAUAGAAGGGACUGAUAAACGAACACUCUCUUUCCAGUUGCAAUAUUUCUUAAUGGUGGGGAUUGUGAGUUCAGUUAUAAGAGAAGGAUAAUGAUCAUUCUUUUCCAAUUUUGCAAUUUAUUUUUGAAGGGAUGCUUUAUCACUUGCAAAAGACAACUUAUUUGGUAUAAUUUCUUCAAUUGUGGGUUCUAUUGAAAGACCUGAAACUUCUUUAUCUUUCGAAGAUUGAGUUUUGGAAGAGGAACCUUUGAUUCUAGAACCAGAAGAAGGAGGUACAGAACUAGUUGAACCUCCUCGUGUAGAUCCCAUACUUCGAAGUCAUCCUCCUCUGCCUCUUGAAUAUUUGAUAGGAGCAGGUGCAUUAGGAAAUUGAUGGAGAAGUAAAAUCUUUUUGAGGUUAGGGUUUGGAUAUGCCAUUGUUGGAUAAUCUUGAAGUAAGUAGAAGUAAAAGAAAGAGAGGAAAUGUGAAUGCUUGAUGGAAAUUGGUGAAUAAGAAGACAAUGAAAGUGUGAAUUAAAAGUUUAUAUGGGAACAACCGUCAAAAUUAAGGGGAGCAAUGAUGGAAAGCCUAUAUUAAAGAUAACCAUCACUUCGUAAAUAGAGGAAGUUUAUCAUGCCUCGAAAAAUGGGUGCAAAACUGCAGAUCUAAUCAGAAGUUGACACGUGUAUAGAGUAUUAAAUGAGAAAGACAGAAGAGACGUCGAUACUGACACAAGCAUUAAUUGUGACAAAUUUUUUUUUUCAGGAUCCACUUUUCAAUUAUUUAAUUGAUAAAUAAAUGAGAAUUUGGGGGUCUUUUUGUAUUGGGGAAAUACUGAAUUUAAAGUGAAGAUGACACGGCAUGGAACAUGGACUGGUCAAACAGUCAAAGAGUAGUAAAUGAUUAAAAAGGCACGGAAGACAACAUGCACGAGUGAAGAAAAUGAAACAGACACAAGAAAGGAUCUUAGAUACGAGUCUCGUGUCUAUUCAAGUCAUUUAAUUUCAACGAAUAAUAAGGGCACUGAAUAUGCGAAUCUGAUGACAAAAGGUAGUCUAAAUUCAUUAUUAAAUACCCGAUACGUUAGUUAUUUAAUAAUUAAGAGCAAUGAUUAUGAAACGUCUCAUUAAAUGCUAUUUAUUAUAUAGAUCAAUACGUUGCUCCUUGCCAACUAUAAAAGGAGGGAAUUUCAUCAUUUGUAGACACACAGAACAUUCUUGAUAUCAUAUUGAAGUAACAAGUUCUUAUUGCUUUAUCUUUAUUCUCUGAAAGCCUUUUAUUUUGGUCUCUAGAUUAUCAGUCACCCGAUUUCUUCUCUCUAAAAUUCAAGCUUUGACCAAAUUAUAUUUUUUGGUUAAACAAGGGGUAUAUACACUUUUUCCCAUCCAACUCUUAAUCGAG
RNAcentral lists this long non-coding RNA (20966 nucleotides) under Nicotiana benthamiana. Its description in RNAcentral is "long non-coding RNA (NBEN_LNC009667)". The record is from RNAcentral. Lineage: Eukaryota; Viridiplantae; Streptophyta; Magnoliopsida; Solanales; Solanaceae.